GAUGAACGCUGGCGGCGUGCCUAAUACACGCAAGUCGAGCGAACGGACGAGAAGCUUGCCUCUCUGAUGUUAGCGGCGGACGGGUGAGUAACACGUGGAUAACCUACCUAUAAGACUGGGAUAACUUCGGGAAACCGGAGCUAAUACCGGAUAAUAUUUUGAACCGCAUGGUUCAAAAGUGAAAGACGGUCUUGCUGUCACUUAUAGAUGGAUCCGCGCUGCAUUAGCUAGUUGGUAAGGUAACGGCUUACCACGGCAACGAUGCAUAGCCGACCUGAGAGGGUGAUCGGCCACACUGGAACUGAGACACGGUCCAGACUCCUACGAGAGGCAGCAGUAGGGAAUCUUCCGCAAUGGGCGAAAGCCUGGCGGAGCAACGCCACGUGAGUGAUGAAGGUCUUCGGAUCGUAAAACUCUGUUAUUAGGGAAGAACAUAUGUGUAAGUAACUGUGCACAUCUUGACGGUACCUAAUCAGAAAGCCACGGCUAACUACGUG
This 497-nucleotide ribosomal RNA is filed under the name uncultured bacterium. RNAcentral's name for it is "partial 16S ribosomal RNA". It matches the Rfam family "Bacterial small subunit ribosomal RNA", at positions 28 to 507 of the family's 1533-position model. The record is from RNAcentral.